GGUCUAUCAGAAACAACUCUCUACCCCCACAAAGGUAGAGGUAAGGUCUGAGUACAUCCUACCCUCCCAAGACCCCACUUGUGGGAUUACACUGGGUAUAUUUUUGUUGUUGUUGACAUCCAUUACUGUCGUGAUAUUGUGGGCUCAUUCAGUCCAACACCUGCCAAUUCUUUCUUCUAUGUUAGGGACUUCACUCUGGAAUAUUCUUUAGAGAUGAGGAAGACUUCAAUGGGGAAUCUUCCACUUUUCAGCUAGGAGGAUGAAGAUGAUCGAUUGAGCAGAUGUCGAAUGCGACAGGGGCAAUGUGGAGGUUGUAGCAUUGCCAAACUAGUCGGUCAUGGGAUGCCUCCUCCACUCAUCUCUCCUCCCAAAGAGCUGUCCAGUCGUUUCUUGAAGGUCAUUGGAAAGUGAUUGAAAGACCCGCUUAACAUACAUUCCAAUAUACAAUACAUCACCUGAGAAAAACGUGAAGGUUAGGGCUCGAUAGGAUUCAUCUCAUGAAGAUUUAGAUCUGUGGAUGUACAGGGUAGGAAGCAGAGCACCUUUUAGUCCAAAAAAUAUAUUUGGACUUUGAUCAAAGCAAACAACACAACCAACUCUAGCUUCUAAGGCAGAAGUGUUAAGAAUAGCCACUAAUCAGAAGAUAAAGCAUCCUUUAUACGAAAGAUAGAAACAAGUGCUAAGCAUUAUGCUUGUGUGCUUGGUUUAUACCCAUUUUGUAUGCUAUUCCAACAGAUGUACAUUUGGUAGUUACUGCCAGUGAGAAAGCGACUGAUAAUAGAAAUUAGAUUUUACCUUCCACCAUAAAGGAGAAACCCCAAUGCUGCAAAUAGGGAUACACCUGC
Long non-coding RNA from Lycium barbarum (goji berry), 845 nucleotides. RefSeq lists it as uncharacterized. The transcript is spliced from 2 exons. The record is from RefSeq and is a predicted model, not a curated record. NCBI's taxonomy places the organism in Eukaryota, Viridiplantae, Streptophyta, Magnoliopsida, Solanales, Solanaceae.